This 324-nucleotide ribosomal RNA is filed under the name Triticum aestivum (bread wheat). RNAcentral's name for it is "partial small subunit ribosomal RNA". Lineage: Eukaryota; Viridiplantae; Streptophyta; Magnoliopsida; Poales; Poaceae. The record is from RNAcentral.
AUGGUGCCCGGUUAUAGCAAUCUUGGAGAUUACCUGCCCGACGAUGUACAUUAUGAAAUCAUGGAGGUGGACGAACACAAAUACCAUUACGGGAAGCCUCUCGUCAAAGAUGAAAGAUCUCUAACAACGAUGAUGCAAAGACUACAUGAUUGGUACAUGAAAACCUGCAGAGAGUCCGAUGGGAUGGAUACUUUGACGCUGAGAGUUAAACCGGAGCAUGACCUCGUUGGAAUUGAUCUGCUGAAUGUUCCAUUUGAGGAUUUCUUCCAGUUUUACAAUCAAGAGGCCCUCGAUAAAACAACAAUCACUUGCUACUGUCUGUAA